This 1237-nucleotide long non-coding RNA is filed under the name Pogona vitticeps (central bearded dragon). Its description in RNAcentral is "lncRNA (ENSPVIG00000012618.1)". Lineage: Eukaryota; Metazoa; Chordata; Lepidosauria; Squamata; Agamidae. The record is from RNAcentral.
UGAGCCCUCUUGGAUAUGAAAUGUUGACAAUGAAAAAUGCUGACAGGGAACAAACAAAUAAGCAAAACAAAUAAACAAAACAAAUAAACAAAAUAAACAAAACAAACAAACAAAUAAAUAAAUACUUUAUAGAUAGCCUGGGCCACAUGAGGAAGUGGACCCCACAUCGAAUCAACUCUGAACUAAGCAAAAAUGAUGAAACCGGGGUUGUACUGUACUUUGUGUAUACUAUGUAUGAGAUGACUGGAAAAAUGCUAGGCAAAGUUGAAGACAACAGAAGAAGAGGAUGACCAAAUACGAGAUGGAUUAGCUCCAUAAAGGGAGCCACAGCUUUGAAGAGCUGAGCAAGGGCGUGGAGGUCAGGACAUUCUGGAGAUCGCUCUGCGGAGGCGACUCGACAACAUAUUGCCAUUUGUAAUGAAAAUAUCUACCCUUUUCAUCAAAGGCAGAGAGUGACCGACCCGCACCCUCAGAAGUACAAGCGGUCAGGGGUGGGCGAGGCUGCCAUUGCUCCCUCUUUAUGCAUCCUUCCGUUCUCAAAAUUACUCUGGCCUAAAUCCAGUUCUUAUUCCCAACUAGAUCCAUUUGAUCAACAGGAUUUAUUUAAAUAGUGAGCUACCAAAACUCGUCAUUAAAAAUUAGGUGCAAUUCUCCGCCUCUAUCUUCCCGUAAUCUGCAUUGGCCGCCGCCCCCCUCCCGUACCUCCUCUCCCAUUGGAGGAAAAUUCCGUCAAUCCCACGGGAGAAGCCUCCCCGGCCGGUUGCCGUGGAGACCCGGCGACGCUUUCGCGCAGCUGGCUCAGGAGCCGACGACGUCAUGGCGGGAGUUUUGGUGGGCUCGGUGUCAGAACGCGCACUUACUCGCUCGGUGGCCCAUAGACUAAAAUAUUACAUUGAUGUGCAAAGAAGAGAAGAUUCCUUUGAUUCUUCUGGAGUCAUCCAUGAUGAGGCUGAAAGAUUGCACUUGCAGCCGGCAUGUCUGACAAACCAGAGGGAUAAGAAGGAGCAUGAUUUUGCCAAAAUUAAAUUAGAAGCAUAUCUUCGUGCUUAUGUGGGCAAUGCUGAAGACUGUGCCAGAAAAGUUCAGAAAAGCCCAGAAAAGCAAAAGAAUCUGGAAAAGUCUAUUAAAAAGAUGGCACAAGUAAUGCUUAAAUUACCAUUAUAAAAAUCUUUGUUACUUUGUAUAUAAAACCUUAGAUCAACUGAGUUUGCACAUUAAGAGCAAUAUUUGAUUAGUU